UGAGUUAUUAUUUAAUUCUGGUUGUGGAAGGGAUAUUAAGGAGUGCUUAUAUAGGAAUUGUUUGUUUUUUGGGGGAUUAGUUUUUUCUUGGAUUCUUAGUAGUUAGUUCUUGGUUUUUGAAGUGAUUCAGAUUGGGCUUCUUGUUUAUUUGGAGUGGUUUAUUCACAGUGCCAGCAUCCGCGGUUAUUCUGUUAGCUUCUCUCUUCUUUCUGAUAAGGUUGGUUUAAAUGAUUUUAGAGUUACUUGGUAAUUUUAGGUAUAAUUUUAUUGCUUUGGAUAUUAUCUUUUAAGUUGUUGUGGUUCGUUUGUGUGAGAUUAGGAUUAGAUACCCUUGUAUUGAGCGUUGAAAUAUUUUCCUUAGUAUAAACUAAAAGGGUUUGGCAGCUGAUGAGGUUCUUCCGGGGGAACGUGUAGUGUAAGAGAUGAUCCGCUUAUGAUUUUGCCUUAUUUUUGUUAGUGUAUAUCCGGUUUUAUAUUCAUAGUUGUGCUAUAGGGUGUAACUUGUUAGUUUAAGCCAGGUCGAUGUGCUGCUUAUAAUAAGGGGUUUUAUGCGUUACUUUUUUAAAUGAGGCGUUUUGAAAGUUAGAAGUUUGGAUUUAGGACUCGGAAGUAGGUAGUAGUUUAGUUAGCUUUGUCGAAGGGGAUUUAGUUGGGGUACACACCGCCCGUCACCCGGGGUGAUAACUGUGGUAAGUCGUAACAUGGUAGUGCUGGGGGAACCGAGCGCUAGUUGGCUUUUUGUUUAUUUUUUUGGCUGUGU
RNAcentral lists this ribosomal RNA (760 nucleotides) under Uvitellina sp. SSS-2019. RNAcentral's name for it is "small subunit ribosomal RNA". Lineage: Eukaryota; Metazoa; Platyhelminthes; Trematoda; Plagiorchiida; Cyclocoelidae. The record is from RNAcentral.